UGAGGAACAUGACCUUCGGCGGGGGAUAGCCGGCCCAACGGCCGGGUAAUACCGCGUACGACCACAUGGGGACAUCCCUGAGUGGUGAAAGCAGCAAUGCGCCGAUGGAGUGCCUCGCGGCCUAUCAGCUAGUUGGUGAGGUAACGGCUCACCAAGGCGACGACGGGUAGCUGGUCUGAGGAGGAUGGCCAGCCACAUUGGGACUGAGACACGGCCCAGACCUCUACGGGGAGG
RNAcentral lists this ribosomal RNA (234 nucleotides) under uncultured bacterium. RNAcentral's name for it is "partial 16S ribosomal RNA". It matches the Rfam family "Bacterial small subunit ribosomal RNA", at positions 118 to 348 of the family's 1533-position model. The record is from RNAcentral.